UCCUCGGUAGUCUAAUGGCUUAGGACGCUCGUACGGAAUACAAGAGAUCCGGGUUUGACUCCCGGCCGAGGUA
RNAcentral lists this transfer RNA (73 nucleotides) under Mycetomoellerius zeteki. RNAcentral's name for it is "Trachymyrmex zeteki tRNA". It matches the Rfam family "tRNA". Rfam says of the family: Transfer RNA (tRNA) molecules are approximately 80 nucleotides in length. Their secondary structure includes four short double-helical elements and three loops (D, anti-codon, and T loops). The record is from Rfam by way of RNAcentral. Lineage: Eukaryota; Metazoa; Arthropoda; Insecta; Hymenoptera; Formicidae.